GAAAAUCAACGUUUGAACUAAAAAAAAGUCGUUUCGAUCCUUGAGGUCGAGAUAAAAUAAGAGAUUCAAUUUUAUCUAAAGGUGCUACUAAGACACAAUCGGUAUGGUAUUACUCUGGUAAAGAUUCAAUCACCUUGGAACAGACAAAUUGUUGUUAGAAUCAACGUCCUCGCCAUGGGGAUUGAGCCCCUCACCACGAGCACAACGGGAGCAAUGUGAUAUGGUUUCAUAUAAACGAACUCGAUAGCACCGGUGGAUGGUUUCGUCCAUGAGGUUGAUGAUAAUUAUGUCGGUGUGGUAUUGCUCGGGUAAAGAUUCAACCGCCUUGGACAGGUAAAUUGUUGUUAGAAUGAAUGCCCUUGCCAUGGGGAUUGAGCCUCUCACCAUGAGCACAACGGGAGUAGUGUAAUAUGGUAUCAUAUACAUGAACUUGAUAUCGUCGGCGGAUGGUUUCAUCCAUGAGGUCGACAGUAAUGAUGGAUAGUUUCGUGCAAGAGCUCGACGAUGGUAGCUAGAUAAUCCAAUUUUGCUUGGCUUAUAUAUUUAUUAAGAUACUGGAUGAAAGUCAAUUCUAUAUUUAUUCACUAUCAUUGGCUAGCCAGUUGCUUAAUUUGCUUGCAGCAUGCAGGGGUAGUAGAGGCGAUAUAUAGGGAAAACAAUUCUGGAUUCCGACCAGAUUUGAUCGAACAAUUGAAAUCAAGGAGAGAGAAAAGGAAUGUUAAGAAUAAAAAAGAAUAUACACCGUUAGAAUUAAUUACGAUCCAAUCAUUUAGACUAAUUCGAUCAAAGAGUUACUAUCAAUGUGAUUAUUAAUUAUGUAAUUUUGGAAUCUAAAACAUGAAAAUUUUCUUUAAAACAUCAUAUGGAAUGGAAACAAAACAUGUUUGAAUCUUCCAUGAACUUCAUGUUGAUAAUAUAAA
Molecule: long non-coding RNA, 920 nt
Filed under: Setaria viridis
Lineage: Eukaryota; Viridiplantae; Streptophyta; Magnoliopsida; Poales; Poaceae
Description: long non-coding RNA (SVIR_LNC002360)
Source: RNAcentral